Molecule: long non-coding RNA, 3154 nt
Organism: Marmota monax (woodchuck)
Lineage: Eukaryota; Metazoa; Chordata; Mammalia; Rodentia; Sciuridae
Exons: 4
Source: RefSeq, a predicted model, not a curated record
ACAUGGUUAGCGUGAAGCUGAGAGAUAUAUAAUAUAAUAUAAGCUUAAUAUAUAAAUAUAAAAUAUAUGUAUACAUUUUAAAAAAUACAAGAAUGACACAGUUGCUCUUAGCAGGGACGAGGGUCAUGGUUGAGAAAGGCUGGGAGAGUGGGAGAGGCAGGGGCACAGCGGUGCACACCUGUAAUCCUAGCGGCUUGGGAGGCUGAGGCAGGAGGAUCUCGCGUUCACAGCUAGCCUCAGCAACUUAGCGAGACCCUAAGCAACUUGGUGAGACCCUGUCUCUAAAUUUAAAAAAAAAAAGGGCUGGGGCUGUGAGCGCCCUGGGGUUCAAUCUCUGGUACCGGAACCAAACCAAACCAAACCAACCAACAAACAAAAAAAACUUAUAAGAAAUGUUGGGAGAGACAUGCUUCUUGCCGGGGGUCUUCUCCAAGGCAGAGACCAAACACAUUUUUCUGCCAGAAACCCCAUGCCUAUGUCCAUUUCCUACAAAGAUCGCUUUUUUGAGAAAAAUUUAAAAUAGCCAUUUCCAAUGGCUUCUCUAAAAGAUGCCCUGGUUCCUCAGAAACGAGAGGUCUCUGUCUCUUUGGAGUGUCACAGAACUCCUUCCUGAUGAAUAGUCAGGCAGUUUGAAUGAUCCUUUUGUACCAAAGAGUUAAAUCCUCACUUUCUUAGGGCAGGUGGCUCGCAGCUUGUAACGUCAAGUUACCUCUUAUGUUUCUUGGUAGGUUACAAGCUCCCAGUAACAGGGAGACAGCCCAUCCUGCACUCUGCGGAGUGUGUUGCUCUCUAACACGGUGACAUCAAUCUCUUUCCUGGCUCAGGCUUUAUAACACCCCGAUCUCAGUAUAUCUGCUCCCCUAGCCUGCUAUUUCCCAUACAUGUAGGAUUCUGGGAGUCAGGUUAUUACUCUUAGCAGAAUCUAUCCGUAAUCUCACAGGGCUGGCAGGGAGGUUGAAAUAUUGUUAGAACAAUAUUGAGGUAUAAAUCUUCCUCCCUCCGUUGUCGAGUCCUUGGCGCGGGUCAAUCAUUUGCUAUUGCUUAACUGCACGCUGAUGGCUGUUGGUAUUGAUCACAGGUCAAUUAGCUGGCUCUGGGCAACCCACAUUUUUUAGUGCUGUUCAUUACCUUGUCUUCGCAUUGGCUCCCGGGGAUGAGGUGUCCUAGGAUCUGAAGAUACGAGGUGCAAGUGACUCCGACCUCUCUCUUACCUCAGCAGUGGCUGUAUUUAAACAAUUUGUUUGUUUUUCUCCAAACCACAUCGCUGUGACCGAGGGUUGCAAGGGUUUGCUUUUUUUCCUCUCCUGUUGAUUCUACCUGCUCCCCCAAUACUGGGGACUGAACCCAGGGGUGCUCUGCCACUGAGUAGUUGCAUCCCAGUCUGCUUUAUUUUGAGAUAGGGUUUGAUUGUUUCCUGUUCUAAGAUUCUGAGAUCCCUCCUUCAGGAAAACGUGUCUCCAUCAGCAGCAGGAGAGAGUUCUAGCAGAGGACCUGGGAUGGAGCUGAAGUCCGCUGUGCUGGAGACAGACUCGGGGGGGAGGUUGACAGACAUUUGGUUUCCUUUAACAAUUUCAGUGCUGCUGUUUUGUGACCUUGAGAAGUUGUCCCCAAUACACAGGAGUCCACCCACAGCUAAGAGCAGCAGGUGGAGACAGCCAUCAGUGGGCCCUGAAAUGUCACUUAAGCACAGACCUCGGACUCUCUGCACUGUGCGAAAGUCCUGUGGAACAAGAGCUGGACUUGAGAAGCCAGAGUGCGGGACAAGAACAAUGUGGAAACUAAAAGGAAACACUCUCAGGAUCAGGUGGUUUUCCUGAGCUUCACCGCCAAAGAGACAGCAAGAAUGCCAACCAGCUGCUGAGGGGCCCGAGGCUGCCUUUUAAUUUAGGAGACAGGGUCUCACUAAGUUGCCGAGGCUGGCCUUGAACUUACAAUCCUGCUGCCACAGCUUCCCAGGUUGCUGGGAUCACAGGUGCACACUACCCUGGCUGGCUCCCUAGGCUGCACGGAACAAAGCCCCAGCACAAUUUAGAGCUUACCCUUCAUGGAAAUGAGUUCCUAAUAUCAGCCCAAUUCUGCGUUCAUUUUCUGUUCUCAUGGCCCUGUGCCAGGGCUUUAUUUUAUUUAUGAAAUUGUGUCAUAUGAGGCAAAACUCCUAUUGUAGGUUGAGAAGGGCCAUUGUCAUCCUGGGAUAUUUACUGUACGCCUAGGUGCUGAGGUGUAAUCUGUCCUCUGCAGUAAUGCAGAUACGAAAGCCAGUGGUAUUUAUUUAUAAUAACGCGGGAGGCAGCCUGCAGGGAAGUGUCAUCUUGUUUGUAAUCAAUCCCAGUGUGAGGCUGUUGUUGCCGCACAAUCAGGUUUUGCAUUAAGUGACAAAUUGGCUUCGUCUUCUUAUUCUGACUGUCAUUUUUCUUCAGUGGGGAUAUAUCAUCUCUGUUACAAGGCCUUGGAGCUUACACACACACACACACAAAUGCAUGCCUUGUGAAUGAGCUCAGGAAAAAAGCCACCAUCUCCCAUGGGCUUACAAACAAACCCUAAUUCCUGCCACUCCUGGGAAUGAGCACGAAUGUGUUGAAGAAAGCUGGCAAAGUAGAAGAGCGUGCUGUGCGUGUGGUGAGGUAAACAUGGCUGUAUCUGGUGAAGGCGUGUCAUUGCUACGGAUUGAAUUGAUUCGACAAAUCCAUACACUGAAUCCCUACUACCAACGUGAGUGUGUUUAAAGACAGGGUUGGAGCUGGGGGUGUAGCUCAUUGGCAUAGUGCUUGUCUAGCCCACAUGAGGCCUAGGUUCAACCCCAGUACAAACACAAAAAAUGGGUCUUUGAGAGGUAAUUAAGGUUAAAUGAGGUCAUAGGGGUGGCACCCUAAUCCAAUAUGGCUGGCACUUCUGAGAUGAGGAAGAGGCACUAGGGAUAUGGGUACAGAGUUUUCUCUCUGAAGACACAGCAAUGUGGUAGUCAUCUGCAAGCCAGGGAGAGAGUCCUCAGGAGAAACCAAAUCUGCCGAUAACUUGAUCUUCAACUACCAGCUUCCAGAACUGUGAGAAAGUGGAUUUCUGUUGUUUUAACUGCCCUGUCUGUGUCAUUGUGUUAUAGAAGUCUCAGCAGACUCACACGGUCAUUAAUAAACUGACACUGGUGCUGUGUUCUGGA